This is a non-coding RNA of Elaeis guineensis (African oil palm), 1273 nucleotides long. The record is from RefSeq and is a predicted model, not a curated record. Lineage: Eukaryota; Viridiplantae; Streptophyta; Magnoliopsida; Arecales; Arecaceae.
UUAACCCCAACUCUCUAUCUCCAAGUUGAAACCUUGGCCCUCUUUCUCUCCAAAGCUUCUCCACCUCAUCCACCACCUCUUCAGACCCCUCCAUCUCCGAUCGAAAACUGAUAGACCACCUAUUUAGACUCUCCUCUCCAUCCUCGAUCCUUCCCCAAAUCAACUCUCACUCCCUCAUCGAUCCUUCUUCUCCCCCUCCUCCUUCUCUGGCGUCAUCACCGACGGUCUCCCUCCUCCUCCGGUCUCAUCGCCGACAGUCUCCCUCCUCUUUCAGCCUCUCCGCCCCUCCACCAUGCUCCUCCUCCUCUCCACACCUCCACCUCAUUUUUUUGGGGUUUGAUUCGAAGGAGUUCUGCACGUAACCAGAUCUGCGUUGCUGGUCAUCGGUCAUCAUCGUGCCGAGUGCGGGGGAGGCGGACGGCGUUCUACCGGCUGAGCUUAGCCUUCUUCCUAACCAGUUCCAAGACACUGACAAUUGAUAGGCUUCCUGUAGUUCUUGGUGCUCUUGAACUUGUAGGAAUCGGUCACACUGGGACGAUUCGAUGAUAUGGAGUUACAUACUUCUUAAAGUCGAUUGUCUUCUGAUCAAUCCCAACAAUCGAGGCAGCCAUAAUAAUCCGAGGUCGGUCUUUCAUCAUUUGCACAACAGUUUGAUGCUGGUCCUUCUUUAUCCUACGGCAGCUUGAGUCACAGUAGGAUCCACCUACUGAGGAGGAUCUUGUUAUGAAUGAGAUAUAUAUCCAGGAUGCAUCCAAGAGAGCAUGAAUUAGACGUGGACCUACAUGGACUAGAGAUAUUUGGCACUUAGCUAAGGAUGAGUGGGUUGUCAUCUGGUGCAACUAGAUGGGGCAGCCCAUUAACAAGAUAGCUAGAUUGUUGAUGAGCUUCUUAGAUGGAUGAGCAUGAGAGGAAGUCUGGUCAGAUGGAGUUUUACAAAAUGACUCAUAUUCAUCGAGAUGGCCAUUUUGUUACUGACGAGUCGAGAGAUAUAUUUGUAUGGAGAGCUUCAUCUCUUGUUGCUGAGCGUGUCGGCGAGUCCUCAGUAUCUAUGGAGAUCAGUCAUGUCGAGGCUCAGGCUCCUGAUGGUUCCAGCAAUGGUGGAGUUAAUGAUGAUCAUGCUUCUAUGGAUGACUGAUAGCUCGAUGCCUCUAUAUUUCUUUUGAGUUUUAUAGAUUUUUUUUCCUUCUCUUUAGUUGUGGAUUGUUAUUCAUGAACAUGAUGGACAGUGUAAUCAUGACUUUAUUAUAUGAUAUGGAAUGUUAUUAUGACUUUA